GAGGUUAAGAGAAAAGAAAAAGAAGACCAUGCCUCCAACUGUGUGUUGCCGAUUCUAUUUAUUUCCCCGCAAUUUUGUAUUAAAAGUAUUUGUUAAUUUGUAAUUUACGAAUGCUCGCUAGUCAUACAGUAAAAUAUUUUACUUGUAAAUAACGGAUUAAAGCGGUGCUUGAAUUUAAUGACAAUGCUGCAGUUUAGUGGAAUAUUAAUUAAUUUAUCAGUUAGACACACUCCUAGAGUUCCACUGUGGUUCGCAACUCAACAGUUCGUGGCUGCUAACUCAACUAUUUCUAACCCUAUUCCGGAGCCCGAUCCGACCCCAUCUUCUACUACUACGGUAAAUGAUUAAAGAAGUAAUGUCUCUUGCGAGGUUUGACAUUCGUUUAAUCAAAAUUGAGCUGCACAAUUAGACCACUUUGACAAUUGGAACCUCAUUAUGCGGCAAAUUUGAGUUCUACAUGUUUUUUGUUGGUUCAUUUUUAUGUUUGACAAAUAGGCAGUUUUUACACAAGCUAUUGUCAAUUUCUUACU
This is a long non-coding RNA of Belonocnema kinseyi, 530 nucleotides long. RefSeq lists it as uncharacterized. NCBI's taxonomy places the organism in Eukaryota, Metazoa, Arthropoda, Insecta, Hymenoptera, Cynipidae. The record is from RefSeq and is a predicted model, not a curated record. The transcript is spliced from 3 exons.